ACGAACGCUGGCGGCGUGCUUCACCCAUGCCAGUCGCACGGAAAGGCCCUGCUUUUGUGGGGUGCUCGAGUGGCGAACGGGUGAGUAACACGUGAGUAACCUGCCCUUGACUUUGGGAUAACUUCAGGAAACUGGGGCUAAUACCGGAUAGGAGCUCCUGCUGCAUGGUGGGGGUUGGAAAGUUUCGGCGGUUGGGGAUGGACUCGCGGCUUAUCAGCUUGUUGGUGGGGUAGUGGCUUACCAAGGCUUUGACGGGUAGCCGGCCUGAGAGGGUGACCGGCCACAUUGGGACUGAGAUACGGCCCAGACUCCUACGGGAGGCAGCAGUGGGGAAUAUUGCACAAUGGGCGGAAGCCUGAUGCAGCAACGCCGCGUGCGGGAUGACGGCCUUCGGGUUGUAACCGCUUUCGCCUGUGACGAAGCGUGAGUGACGGUAAUGGGUAAAGAAGCACCGGCUAACUACGUG
This 466-nucleotide ribosomal RNA is filed under the name uncultured bacterium. RNAcentral describes it as "partial 16S ribosomal RNA". It matches the Rfam family "Bacterial small subunit ribosomal RNA", at positions 29 to 507 of the family's 1533-position model. The record is from RNAcentral.